GACGAACGCUGGCGGCGUGCCUAAUACAUGCAAGUCGAACGCUGAAGAGAGGAGCUUGCUCUUCUUGGAUGAGUUGCGAACGGGUGAGUAACGCGUAGGUAACCUGCCUUGUAGCGGGGGAUAACUAUUGGAAACGAUAGCUAAUACCGCAUAACAAUGGAUGACACAUGUCAUUUAUUUGAAAGGGGCAAUUGCUCCACUACAAGAUGGACCUGCGUUGUAUUAGCUAGUAGGUGAGGUAAUGGCUCACCUAGGCGACGAUACAUAGCCGACCUGAGAGGGUGAUCGGCCACACUGGGACUGAGACACGGCCCAGACUCCUACGGGAGGCAGCAGUAGGGAAUCUUCGGCAAUGGGGGCAACCCUGACCGAGCAACGCCGCGUGAGUGAAGAAGGUUUUCGGAUCGUAAAGCUCUGUUGUAAGUCAAGAAAGGGUGUGAGAGUGGAAAGUUCACACUGUGACGGUAGCUUACCAGAAAGGGACGGCUAACUACGUG
Molecule: ribosomal RNA, 497 nt
Filed under: uncultured bacterium
Lineage: Bacteria
Description: partial 16S ribosomal RNA
Rfam family: Bacterial small subunit ribosomal RNA
Source: RNAcentral